CGAUGAUGCCCAGCUUGCUGGGUGGAUUAGUGGCGAACGGGUGAGUAACACGUGAGUAACCUGCCCCUGACUCUGGGAUAAGCGUUGGAAACGACGUCUAAUACUGGAUAUGAUCACUGGCCGCAUGGUCUGGUGGUGGAAAGAUUUUUUGGUUGGGGAUGGACUCGCGGCCUAUCAGCUUGUUGGUGAGGUAAUGGCUCACCAAGGCGACGACGGGUAGCCGGCCUGAGAGGGUGACCGGCCACACUGGGACUGAGACACGGCCCAGACUCCUACGGGAGGCAGCAGUGGGGAAUAUUGCACAAUGGGCGAAAGCCUGAUGCAGCAACGCCGCGUGAGGGAUGACGGCCUUCGGGUUGUAAACCUCUUUUAGUAGGGAAGAAGCGAAAGUGACGGUACCUGCAGAAAAAGCACCGGCUAACUACGUGCCA
This 431-nucleotide ribosomal RNA is filed under the name Curtobacterium sp. RNAcentral's name for it is "bacterial SSU rRNA". It matches the Rfam family "Bacterial small subunit ribosomal RNA", at positions 67 to 510 of the family's 1533-position model. Lineage: Bacteria; Bacillati; Actinomycetota; Actinomycetes; Micrococcales; Microbacteriaceae. The record is from RNAcentral.